This 467-nucleotide ribosomal RNA is filed under the name uncultured bacterium. RNAcentral's name for it is "partial 16S ribosomal RNA". It matches the Rfam family "Bacterial small subunit ribosomal RNA", at positions 28 to 506 of the family's 1533-position model. The record is from RNAcentral.
GACGAACGCUGGCGGCGUGCUUAACACAUGCAAGUCGAACGGAAAGGCCCUGCUUUUGUGGGGUGCUCGAGUGGCGAACGGGUGAGUAACACGUGAGUAACCUGCCCUUGACUUUGGGAUAACUUCAGGAAACUGGGGCUAAUACCGGAUAGGGGCUCCUGCUGCAUGGUGGGGGUUGGAAAGUUUCGGCGGUUGGGGAUGGACUCGCGGCUUAUCAGCUUGUUGGUGGGGUAGUGGCUUACCAAGGCUUUGACGGGUAGCCGGCCUGAGAGGGUGACCGGCCACAUUGGGACUGAGAUACGGCCCAGACUCCUACGGGAGGCAGCAGUGGGGAAUAUUGCACAAUGGGCGGAAGCCUGAUGCAGCAACGCCGCGUGCGGGAGGACGGCCUUCGGGUUGUAAACCGCUUUCGCCUGUGACGAAGCGUGAGUGACGGUAAUGGGUAAAGAAGCACCGGCUAACUACGU